This is a long non-coding RNA of Ruditapes philippinarum (Manila clam), 355 nucleotides long. RefSeq lists it as uncharacterized. Lineage: Eukaryota; Metazoa; Mollusca; Bivalvia; Venerida; Veneridae. The transcript is spliced from 3 exons. The record is from RefSeq and is a predicted model, not a curated record.
UUUUACAAAUAUUCAACGAAUGUGAAAUUUGAAAUUUUCAGAAACAGAAAUUCAUAAGCAUUCAACUGGUUAAAUUUAUCAUUAAAAAGUUUUUUAUUAUAAUAAUACUCACAAUUCUUUUUUUAAAGAUGUACGGGAAUUUUAGCAACAGUAUAUUUGUGUUCGUGAUUUUUAUUUCUACAUUUUCAAUAUGCUUGAGUGAAAUUUGCGUGGAUAAACCAGACGGUGUGUAUGAAGCUAACUGCCGGGCUUAUUCUAUAUGUAUUAAUGGCAGGGAGGAGAUUGUUAACUGUGAGUUUGGACAGGCUUUCAAUACAAAAACUAAACAAUGUGAAAGCAAAUGGGAUGUUCCCCC